Molecule: ribosomal RNA, 2105 nt
Filed under: human gut metagenome
Description: bacterial LSU rRNA
Rfam family: Bacterial large subunit ribosomal RNA
Source: RNAcentral
AGUACCGUGAGGGAAAGGUGAAAAGAACCGCGGGAGCGGAGUGAAAGAGAACCUGAAACCGUAUGCCUACAAGAAGUCAGAGCCCGUUAAGGGGUGAUGGCGUGCCUUUUGUAGAAUGAACCGGCGAGUUGCGACAGACUGCGAGGUUAAGGAGGAAAGACCGGAGCCGAAGCGAAAGCGAGUCUUAAUAGGGCGAAAGUAGGAUGUUGCAGACCCGAAACCGGGUGAUCUAGCCAUGAGCAGGUUGAAGUUGAGGUGAAACUCAAUGGAGGACCGAACCGACUACCGUUGAAAAGUUAGCGGAUGACUUGUGGCUAGGGGAGAAAUUCCAAUCGAACCCGGAGAUAGCUGGUUCUCCCCGAAAUAGCUUUAGGGCUAGCGUCGGAAAGAACCUUAGUGAAGGUAGAGCACUGAAUGUGUGAUGGCCCCAUCCCGGGGUACUGAAUACAAUCAAACUGCGAAUGUCAUUAAGGAUGUCCGGCAGUCAGACUGUGAGUGAUAAGGUCCAUGGUCAAGAGGGAAACAGCCCAGACCGCCAGUUAAGGUCCCAAAAUACAGGCUAAGUGGAAAAGGAUGUGGGGAUGCCCAGACAACUAGGAGGUUGGCUCAGAAGCAGCCAUCCUUUAAAGAGUGCGUAACAGCUCACUAGUCGAGUGACCCUGCGCCGAAAAUGUACCGGGGCUAAGCCUGAUACCGAAACUGCGGAUUGUAGGAAACUAUAGUGGUAGGGGAGCGUUGUAUACGAGCAGAAGCCGUACCGUGAGGAGCGGUGGAUUGUAUAGAAGUGAGAAUGCCGGUGUGAGUAGCGAGAUGUAGGUGAGAAUCCUACACACCGAAAGCCCAAGGAUUCCAGGGGAAGGUUCGUCCGCCCUGGGUAAGUCGGGACCUAACGCGAGGCCGAAAGGCGUAGUGGAUGGAAAGCAGGCGAAAGAUUCCUGCACCCGUAUAUGGAGCGAAGGAGUGACGGAGACGGAUAGUGUGACCCUCUUAAUGGAUUGAGGGCGAAGCGAAGCGGCUGGUUACCAGGCAAAUCCGGUAACCAAAAGGCUAGAGCGUGACAGGUAAGCGAAAUCUUAGGAAAGUAGCGAAGCACAUGAUGACGGCUUCCAGGAAAAGCUUCUGGCAAUGCAUAUGCGGCCCGUACCAAAACCGACACAGGUGGGCAGGGAGAGAAUCCCGAGGUGAGCGAGAGAACUGUUGCCAAGGAACUCGGCAAAAUGACUCCGUAAGUUAGCGAGAAGGAGUGCUUAAGCAAUUAAGCCGCAGUGAAGAGGCCCAAGCGACUGUUUAACUAAAACACAGCUCUCUGCGAAGUCGCAAGACGAAGUAUAGGGGGUGACACCUGCCCGGUGCUGGAAGGUUAAGAGGAUCUGUUAAGAGCGAUCUGAAGCAGUGAUCCGAAGCCCCAGUGAACGGCGGCCGUAACUAUAACGGUCCUAAGGUAGCGAAAUUCCUUGUCAGGUAAGUUCUGACCCGCACGAAAGGUGUAACGAUUUGGGCGCUGUCUCGGCAGCAGACUCGGUGAAAUCUUAGUACCUGUGAAAAUGCAGGUUACCCGCAACUAGACGGAAAGACCCCAUGGAGCUUUACUGCAGCCUGAUAUUGAAUUCUGGUCAUACAUGUACAGGAUAGGUGGGAGACAAAGAGACGUGCACGCCAGUGUACGAGGAGUCGACGUUGGGAUACCACUCUUGUGUGACCGGGGUUCUAACCUGGUAUCGAGAACAGGUACGGGGAGAGUGUCAGGUGGGCAGUUUGACUGGGGCGGUCGCCUCCCAAAGAGUAACGGAGGCGCCCAAAGGUACGCUCAGAUUGGAUGGAAACCAAUCGUCGAGUGCAAUUGCAGAAGCGUGCUUGACUGUGAGACAAACAAGUCGAACAGGGACGAAAGUCGGGAAUAGUGAUCCGGCGGUGCCGAAUGGAAGGGCCGUCGCUCAACGGAUAAAAGCUACCCUGGGGAUAACAGGCUGAUCUCGCCCAAGAGUUCACAUCGACGGCGAGGUUUGGCACCUCGAUGUCGGCUCAUCGCAUCCUGGAGCUGGAUUCGGUUCCAAGGGUUGGGCUGUUCGCCCAUUAAAGCGGUACGCGAGCUGGGUUCAGAACGU